Molecule: ribosomal RNA, 484 nt
Filed under: uncultured bacterium
Lineage: Bacteria
Description: partial 16S ribosomal RNA
Rfam family: Bacterial small subunit ribosomal RNA
Source: RNAcentral
AUUGAACGCUGGCGGCAGGCCUAACACAUGCAAGUCGAGCGGAUGAAGGGAGCUUGCUCCUGGAUUCAGCGGCGGACGGGUGAGUAAUGCCUAGGAAUCUGCCUGGUAGUGGGGGAUAACGUCCGGAAACGGGCGCUAAUACCGCAUACGUCCUGAGGGAGAAAGUGGGGGAUCUUCGGACCUCACGCUAUCAGAUGAGCCUAGGUCGGAUUAGCUAGUUGGUGGGGUAAAGGCCUACCAAGGCGACGAUCCGUAACUGGUCUGAGAGGAUGAUCAGUCACACUGGAACUGAGACACGGUCCAGACUCCUACGGGAGGCAGCAGUGGGGAAUAUUGGGCAAUGGGCGAAAGCCUGAUCCAGCCAUGCCGCGUGUGUGAAGAAGGUCUUCGGAUUGUAAAGCACUUUAAGUUGGGAGGAAGGGCAGUAAGUUAAUACCUUGCUGUUUUGACGUUACUAACAGAAUAAGCACCGGCUAACUUCGUG